This 599-nucleotide long non-coding RNA is filed under the name Vigna radiata. Its description in RNAcentral is "long non-coding RNA (VRAD_LNC016077)". Lineage: Eukaryota; Viridiplantae; Streptophyta; Magnoliopsida; Fabales; Fabaceae. The record is from RNAcentral.
AAUGCAUUAUAAUGGUCAAGGUUUUUACAACAAGGUUUCUAUAGAGACCUCCACGUCAAAAUAUAAAACACCUCUCUAACCCUUUAACCAAAAUAUAGGCAUACAACACCCAAAGAACAGUAGCAAGAUAUCCCCUCUCCUACAGUCUUUGUCAACUUUGAACAAUCCUCAAAGUUAUCCCAGAACGCAACACAUCCUUUUCUUGUAAUCACAACAGGGCAGCCACAAUCUUCCAAAGAUUGAGAGAAGUAGAUGAUCACGUUUCGAAUGCGUCUCAAUGUGCAGGAUGAGGUCGAAGGCUAGCUUUUUGCAGACGAUGAAUGCCGGGACGACAACGAUCUCUUCUACGGCUGUUUUUGCAAUGACUGCUGUCAACACCCAAUUUCGUUCGGAUGACUAAAUAAUAGGACUUGUUUUUAUUUUUGUCUUAUUUUAUUCUAUUUUUCAUUUUUUUAUUUUGUUUUAUUAUCUUUAAUUUUUAUUUUACUAUUUGGUAUUUGAUUUAGCUUUCUUUAUUAUUAUUUAAUUCUUUUUUUUUCUUUUAUUUUUUUUUCAAAAUGAAUAUAAAAAAAUAAAACCGGUUGCGACAACUGCAAAAG